AGGAAAAUAUAAUAGUUUUAGAUAAUAAUCCAAUAUUUAUAGAAAAAUAAUACAGAGAGAUACGAAAUCUGAUAAAAAUAGUCCCAUAAGAUCUGGGGUCACGAGUCUAGAGCCUCUAAAACAAACUGGAUAAUAAUAUCUAAACGAAAAUACCCAAGUCUAGAAAUAUAUAUAUAGAUAUAUAAAACUGAAUAAGGAAGAGUAGCCAGGUCCGGCAAACGUCAAGCAGCUACCUCAACAACUCUGAUAAUCUCUGGAGACAACGUCUGCUCACCUAAGCCUCCGGUACACCUGCAUCUACACACAAGGUGCAGGGAGUAGGGGUGAGUACUAUCGACUCAGUGAGUAAUAAGCAUAUAAAUUGUCUGAAGGUAAGAAAUCCAUGAAAUGCCACAAAGUAAAGCUAAAACUAACAGUCAGACACCUUAACUACAAACCAACAGCAAAGCAAUAUCAAGUAUAUUGUUCAAGUAAAAUGCAAGAAUCAAUGCUAUUCACAUGAACCCGUUGCGGCGUACAGCGCGAUCCAUUUAACGUCGACGACGCUCAUUGGGGAUGUCUACAGACGCUGGAGGGGAUUCUACAGCCCAAGCGCAAUAUCAUCAUAUCACUGCUACGGCGUGCAACCCGAUCCAUACUCAGUCCACAGUAUGCAUAUGAGUCACAUAACAGAUUCAGUUUAUUUUCCAUUUCUCCAAUUAUUAAGAAGGAUAUAAUUUAAUUAUUUAAUUUCAGAAAAAAAAGUGACUUUGCAUCUCAUAACACUGAUUAAACACAAAACUGAGAUCAAUGAUUAUACAAACCAUACUAUCACAAUGAUAUUCAUCCUCUAAGGAUGCUACAGAUCGGCACAAGGCCCCAAACAUGGCAAUAAGCCCAGAUAUAAUUAAUACAGGGUGCGUUUCAGUUGCCAAUAUAGUAAAAUUCUUGUUCGGGAUGGACCAAGUCAAAAUCCCCAGUCAUAAACAACCCCGCACCUGCCAUGGGAUGCGAGUCACGCCCUAAUAUAGCGUCACAAUGUGAUAUACCGCGGUUUCAAACCCUCAGACCAUCAUCUAUACAAACUACUCACUUCUAACCGACCGUAGACUGUCCGCAAUGCCUUUUCCUCAUGUAUCAACCUCCUCGUGUGUCGAAUCUAGUCAAAAUCAUAACGAAUAUAAAAAUAUAGGCUAAAGAAACAUUAUCCGAUAAAAAAUACUCGAAAAGUACUAAAAUUCACGAAAUUGGUAAAACCCGAGCCUCGGGCCCACUUCUCGAAAUAUUCCAAAAAUCACGGUAACAGAUUCCUCUUCUCGCCACGUCCGAACAUAUAAGGUUCACAAAAACUGAGUUCAAAUGGCCUUUCAAUUCCCUAAAAUUUGUCUUCAAAAACCAAGCCCUAGUUCUUCACAAUUUCAACCACUUUCAUGAAUUUAAGUAUUAAUUCUUCACUAAAAUGGUGAUUCUAAGUCAAGAGACUUACCUCCAAUAAAUACUCAUUGAAAACCCUCCACAAAUCGCUCAAAACGCUUUCUUGGCGGAGUAAAAAUGGUGGAAAAAGUGUUGGGUUCGCGAGUGAAAUAUCCUUAAAACCAUUCUGCCCCGCUGAACCUCCCUUCAUCGCAAACGUGAUGGACCCUCGUGUCCGCGAUGGCCAAGAAUUAAACUGGGACAUUUUGCUCUUCGCAAAAAUGGGCCUCUGCCGCGAACGCGAUGCACACAGGCCAGGGGUCUCCUAAUCCCUUCUACGCAAACGCGAAGGCCAAGGGCCUCAGGCCUACACGAACGCGUCCUCCCUUUGCGAACACGAAGCCUAAAACCCUAGCCCUCCUAUUUCCUUCUACGCGUUCGUGACAUACCCUUGCAAACAAGAAGCACAAAGUUCUGCAACACCAACAACGGAAAACCAGCAAUCCUCUAAAUCCAAAAAUAGCCCGAUUGACCAUUCGAAAUCACCCCGAGGACCUCGAAACCUCAACCAAAAGCACAUAUAUGCUCUAAUAUCUCAUUCAAAGUUGCUCGAGCCAUAAAAUCACUAUCGUAAACACCAAAAUCAUUGAAUUACUACGGAUUCAAGCCUAAGUUAAACUAAAUCUUCUAAAACUUGUAUUUGAUCAGAAACCCGACCAAACGAUGUCCGAAUGAUCUGAAAAUUUGCACGUCUAUCCCAAAUCACCUAACGGAGCUGCUGCAACUGUCGGAAUUCCAUUCCGACCCUCGGAUAAAAAUCUCACCUAUCAACCGGAAUUCGCCAAAAUUCAAACUUAGCCAAUUCAAGCUUAAUUCUACACCGGACCUCAAUAUUCAAUUCUGAUUGCGCUCCUAAGUCAUAAAUCAUCACUUGAAACUAGUCAAAUCAUCGGAAAUCCAUUCUGAGCCCUCUAACAUAUAAGUCAACAUUCCGUUGAAUUUUCUAAACUAACCUUCUCAUAAAGAGACUAAUUAUCUCAUUUCUAACCGAACUCUAUCCGAAUUAUUUCAAAUUCUCCACACACAUAUAAUGAAACAUAUAUAAACAUAAAACGGGAAAAACGAGGCGGUAAUUCAUGUGACGACGGCCCGGGUCGUUACAUCCUUCCCAACUUAAACAAAUGCUCAUCCUCGAACGGGUCAAGAAGCAUACCUGGAGUCUCAAAUAACUGAGGAUAUUUGUUGCGCAUCUCCUGCUCGGUCUCCCAAGUGGCCUCUUCCAUGGGCCGACCUCUCCACAACACCUUCACCGAAGCUAUAUCCUUUGAUCUCAACUUUCGAACCUGACGACCCAAAAUGGCCACUGGCUCCACAUCGUAGGUCAAAUCCUCGUCCAAGUGAAUCGUGCUGAAGUCUAACACAUGAGACGGGUCCCCGACAUACUUCCGGAGCAUGGAAACAUGGAACAGCAUAUGAACUCCUGACAAGCUAGGUGGCAAAGCAAGCAUAUAUGCCACAUCCCCAAUCCUCCUAAGUAUCUCAAAAGGUCCAUUAACCUUGGACUUAGCUUCCCUUUCUUUCCAAACCUCAUAACGCCUUUCAUAGGCAAAUCCUUCAACAAGACCUUCUUGCCCACCGCAUAAGAUACAUCUCGAACCUUUCGGUCCACAUAACUCUUCUGACGCGACCAAGCUGUACGAAGUCUCUCUUGGAUCACUUUAACCUUCUCUAAGGCAUCCUGGACUAACUCUGUCCCCAAUAAUCUAGCCUCACCAGGCUCAAACCAACCAACCGGAGAUCUACGUCGUCGCCCGUAUAAGGCUUCAUACGGCGCUAUCUGGAUGCCGGAUUGAUAGCUGUUAUUGUACGCAAACUUCGCAAGUGGAAAGAACUCAACCCAAGAACCUCCAAAAUCAAUAACACAGGCAUGCAACAUAUCCUCCAAUAUCUGGAUAGUAUGCUCGAACUGUCCGUCCAUAUGAGGAGGAAAUGUUGUGCUCAACUGUACCUUUAUGCCCAAAUCCUGAUGAAAAGUUCUCCAGAACUGGGAAGUAAAUUGAGUACCCCUAUCUGAGACAAUGGAAACCAGGACCCCAUGCAACCGUACAAUCUCCCGGAUAAAAAUAUCUACUAACUUAUCCACAGAAUAAGUAGUACAUACCAUAAUGAAGUGUGCGGACUUGGUCAGCCUAUCCACAAUCACCCAAAUCGAAUCAAACUUCUUUGAGGUACGAGGAAGACCACUCACAAAAUCCAUAGUGAUAUUCUCCCAUUUCCACUCCAGAAUAUCCAUCCGCUGAGUACACCACCGGGUCUCUGGUGCUCAUAUUUGACUUGCUGACAAUUGAGACACCAAGCCACAUAAUUCACAAUAUCCUUUUUCAUCCUCAUCCACCAGUAAUGCUGUCUCAAAUCCCGGUACAUCUUCGCGGCACCCGGAUGAAUCGAAUAACGCGAGCUGUGGGCCUCUUCUAAUAUCAACUCCCGGAGCCUAUCCACAUUGGGCACGAAAAUCUGGCCCUGCAUCCGCAACACACCAUCAUCUCCAAUGGUCAAAUCUCUGGCAUCAUCACGCUAGACCCUGUCCUUCAAGACAAGCAAAUGCGGGUCAUCAUACUGGCGCUCUCUGAUGCGAUCAUACAAAAAAGAUCGGGAAACCACACAAGCCAACACCCGACUAGGCUCGAAAAUAUCUAACCUCACCAUCUGAUUGGCCAAGGCCUGUACAUCAACUGCAAGGGGCCUCUCCCCAACUGUAAUGUAUGCCACACUACCCAUACUAAUAGUCUUCCGGCUCAAAGCAUCGGCCACUACAUUGGCCUUCCCGGGAUAAUACAAAAUGGUAAUAUCAUAGUCUUUGAGUAACUCAAGCCAUCUCCGCUGUCUCAAAUUAAGAUCCUUCUACUUGAACAAGUGCUGAAGACUACGAUGGUCCGUACAUACCAUACAAGAAAAAUGGUAAUAUCAUAGUCCUUGAGUAACCCAAGCCAUCUCCAGUGCCUCAAAUUAAGGUCCUUUUGCUUAAAAAGUGCUGACAGCGAUUAUCCGUAUACACCUCACAAGAUACGCCAUAUAAAUAGUGCCUCCAAAUCUUCAAGGCAUGAACGAUAGUAGCCAACUCUAAGUCAUGAACAUGGUAGUUCUUCUCAUGGGUCUUUAACUGACGAGAAGCAUAAGCAAUCAUUUUACCCUCCUGCAUCAACACACGGCCGAUCCCAACUCUCGAAGCAUCACAAUACACCGUAUAAGAACCUGAAGCUGAUUGACAAACUAGUAUCGGAGCUGUGUUCAAAGCCGACUUGAGCUUCUGGAAGCUCUCCUCGCAUUCAUCCGACCACACAAAUGGAGCAUNNNNNNNNNNNNNNNNNNNNNNNNNNNNNNNNNNNNNNNNNNNNNNNNNNNNNNNNNNNNNNNNNNNNNNNNNNNNNNNNNNNNNNNNNNNNNNNNNNNNNNNNNNNNNNNNNNNAUCAACUUCGUCAAAGGCGAAGCAAUAGAUGAAAAGCCCUGAACAAACCUGCGGUAAUAACCCGCCAAACUGAGUAAACUCCGAAUCUUAGUAGCUGAGGAUAGUCUAGGCCAAAUCUGCACCGCCUCGAUCUUCUUUGAGUCCACCUAAAUACCAUCACUGGACACCACGUGUCCCAGAAAAGCCACAGUGCUAAGUCAGAACUCACACUUGGAGAAUUUCUCAUAAAGCUUCUCCUCUCUCAAUCUCUGCAAUACCACCCUCAAGUGUUGUGCGUGCUCCUCCUGGCUNNNNNNNNNNNNNNNNNNNNNNNNNNNNNNNNNNNNNNNNNNNNNNNNNNNNNNNNNNNNNNNNNNNNNNNNNNNNNNNNNNNNNNNNNNNNNNNNNNNNNNNNNNNNNNNNNNNNNNNNNNNNNNNNNNNNNNNNNNNNNNNNNNNNNNNNNNNNNNNNNNNUCAAGAUAUCAUCAAUAAACACGAUCACAAAAGAAUCCAGAUACGGCCAAAAUACAAUGUUCAUCAGUUGCAUGAACGCGGCUGGGGCAUUGGUCAGCCCGAAUGAAAUCACUAAAAACUCAUAGUGCCCAUACCUCAUCCUGAAAGCCGUCUUCAUAAUGUUUGAAUCCCUAAUCUUCAGCUGGUGAUAGCCUGAUCGGAGGUCAAUCUUAGAGAAUACCUUUGCUCCCUGAAGCUGAUCAAAUAAAUCCUCACUACGGGGUAGUGGGCACUUGUUCUUCAUUGUCACCUUGUUCAGCUGUAUGUAAUCAAUGCACAUUCUCAAGGUUCCAUCUUUCUUCUUUAUGAAUAAGACCGGUGCACCCCAAGGUGACACACUCGAGCGAAUGAACCCCUUAUCUAAGAGUUCCUAAAGCUGCUCUUUCAACUCAUUUAGCUCCGCUAAUGCAUACGAUAGGGAGGAAUAGAGAUAGGCUGAGUGCCUAGCACCAGAUCAAUACCAAAAUCAUUGUCCGUGUCCUGCGUCAUGGCCGACAAGUCCGCUGGAAACACAUCGGGGAUAUCCCUCACAAGGGGAAUCGAACCAAGGCUAAGAGCCUCAGCUCCGACAUCUGUCACGAAAGCCAAGUACGACAAACAACCUUUCUCAACCAUCCGUUGAGCUUUUAGGAAGGAAAUCACCCUGCUGGGUACAUAAUCAGUCACGCCUCGCCACUCGAUCCUCGGAAUACUCAGAAUAGCUAACGUAACUGUCUUGGCAUGACAGUCCAGAAUAGCAUGGUACGGAGAUAACCAAUCCAUACCCAGAAUCACGUUGAAAUCUACCAUGCUCAAUGAUAACAAGUCAACUCGGGUCACCAGACCCCCAAUAGUCACCAACAGGAUCGAUAUACAUGACCCAUAGGCAAGGGAAGACAACCACGGGUCGUACCCAAGUGAUGGGCAAAAUAUGAAGAUAUCUAGGAAUAGGUAGAUCCGGAAUCAAAUAAGACAGAAGCAUCCUUGUGGCAGACUGAGAUAAUACCUGUGAUGACAACAUCCGAAGCAAUAGCGUCCCUCCUAUCUAAAAGAGCAUAGAAUCGAGCCUGACCACUACUAGUACGGUCCUCACCCCUGCGGCAACCUCUGGCUACUUGGCCUCCACCCCUAGCUGAUUGAGUGGGUGCCAAAGAAACUGGAGCAGAAGACGAGGGUUGAUCCCUCUGCUGAGACAUCCUACUAUGGAGCCGAGGGAACUGUCUCCUCAUAUGACCCAACUCACCGCACUCAUAACAAUGACCUCAAGAUGGAGAAGGGGACUGAUGAGAACCCCUCGCUGCAGAUGAACCCUAAGCUGAAGAAGCAGAAGCAGAGCUCUGAGCUGUAAGGCCGCUCAGUGCAGGCUGGCUCUGCUGAUGUCCCUGAUGACCUCGGCCUGAAGAGGCCCACUGGACUAUGUACCACCUAACUGAGGAGACCUGAAGGAACGUCCUCUACCAUGUUAGAACUGGCCCAUAGUCGGAGCACUGCUGAAAUUACCUGAACCUCGAGGCCUCUUGGCCUCCAUCUCCAUACGCUCCCAACGGCAAUCUGUCUCAGUCAGUCGAGCGGCGUCAACUACCUCCUCAAAUGUAGUUGUUGAAGCCCUCUCUCUAGUCAUCAAUAUGCGGAUCGGGUAGUUGAGGACAUCCACGAACCUCCCGGUCCUCUCUCAUAUUGUCAAGAUCAUCCAAGUAGCAUGCCAAGCUAGCUGUGUAAACCUCAACUCAUACUAAGUCACUGUCAUAUCUCCCUGAGUCAACCACUCGAACUGAUGAUGCAGCUCCUCCCUGUGAGACUGGGGCACAUACUUCUCCAAAAAUACCGUGGAGAACUGCCGGCAAGUGAGGGGCGCUGCCCCAAUAGGCCUAUGCCUCUCGAACUCUUCCCACCAAGUAAAUGCAGCUCCUGUGAGCUGAAAAGUGGUAAAAGCCACUCCAUUAGACUCCACCGAAUGAGGGGUGCUGCCCCAAUAGGCCUACGCCUCUCAAACUCCUCCCACCAAGUAAAUGUCGGCCCUCUAAACAAUAAGGUAGUAAAAUCCACUCCACCAGACUCUAGAAUAGCCGUAAUAAGAAGCAUACGAUGGCACUUAUCCAUUAAACCCCGGGCAUCCUCACCCUCAACACCACUGAAUGUUGGAGGCUGGAGUCUACCCAACCUGUCCAAAUGAUGUUGCUAGUCAUCCGGCAUUGCUGGAACCACAUGAGCUAGAGCUGGUCGACUGGCACAACUGGAACAACUGGUGCAACUGGAGCAACUAGUGCAAUUGGAGCCACUGGAGCAACUGGAGUCUGCAAUCCCUGGACACCCUGCUCGGCUGUGCGAGCAUCGGGGGUCUGACGACAACCCCCGGUUUGAGAAGUAGUCGAUGCUGUAGCGGCUGAAACCUCCUGAGCCAUGCUAGUACAUAUGGACAAGAUCUAAGCCAAAGCCUCCUGGAGACCAGGAAUCACGAAGGGAAAUGUCGGUGCCUGAACAGGUGCUGAUGGAGCUGCUGAUGGAGCAUCUAUAGCUGGAGACUGGUCCUGAACCUGGGCAGCUUGUGGGUCUGCAGGUGCUGCCCCUGCUGGUCCGCCUUGACCAUCACCACGACCGCGUCCACGGCCUCUAGCAGGUGGAACUGGUGGUCGUCCGCCACGUGCGUUAGCACGGGUUCUCGCCAUCUGCGAGAGAAUACAGAAAUUUAGUUUUCAUUGCAACAAGCCGCACGAUAUGAAUUUCAAGAAAGUGAAAUGUUUCCUAAAGGUUCUGUAGCCUCCCGAGGAUAGAUACGGACAUCUACGUACCGAUCCGCGAGACUUUACAAAACUAUCUCAUAACUCGUGAGGCCUAGUAAACCUAGGCUCUGAUACCAACUUGUCAUGACCCCAACCUGGUCGUGAUGGCGCCCAUCACAUUACUAGGCAAGCCUCAUUUACCCAAUAUUCCGAGCUAUGAGCUCGCAUCCUUAUUUCACAAAUCAUUUACAGCGAAAAACGCUAGGCAAACCUGACCAACAAUCGCUCUCAAUUCGACUAUAAAUCUCAAAACCGACAAUUUAAGGAAAAUGUAAUAGUUUUAAAAUAAUAAUCCAAUAUUUGUAGAAAAAUAAUAUGGAGAGAUACGAAAUAUAAUAAAAACACUCCCAUAAGAUAUGGGAUCACGAGUCUAGAGCCUCUAAAACAAACUGAAUAAUAAUAUUUUAGCGAAAAUACCCAAGUCUGGAAAUGUAUAUAUAGAUAUAUAAAACUGAAAUAGGAAGAGUAUCCAGGUCCUGCGAACGUCAAGCAGAUACCUCAACAACUCUGAUAAUCACUAGAGACAACGCCUGCUCAGCUAAGCCUCUGGUACACCUGAAUCUGCACACAAGGUGCGGGGAGUAGGGGUGAGUACUACCGACUCAGUGACUAAUAAGCAUAUAAAAUGUCUGAAGAUAAGAAAUCCACGAAAUGCCACAAGCAAAGCUAACACUAAUAGUCUGACACCUUAACUACGAACCAACAACAAAGCAAUAUCAAGUAUAUUGUUCAAGUAAAAUGCAAGAAUGCAAUUCUAUGCACAUGAACUCGAUGUGGCGUACAACCCGAUCCAUUUAACGUCAACAGCGCUCACUGGGGGUAUGUACAGACUCCGCAGGGGCUCCUACAUCCCAAGCGCAAUAUCAUUAUAUCACUGCUGUGGCGUGCAGUCUGAUCCAUACUCAGUCCACAGUAUGCAUAUGAGUCACAUAACAUAUUCAAUUUAUUUUCCAUUUCUCCAAUUAUUAAGAAGGAUAUAAUUUAGUUAUUUAGUUUCAGAAAAAAGUGACUUAGCAUUUCAUAAAAGUGAUUAAACACAGGACUGAGAUCAAUGAUUAUACAAAUUAUACUAUCACAAUGAUAUUAAUCCUCUGAGGAUGCUACAGAUCGUCACAAGGCCAUAAACAUGGCAAUAAGCCCAGAUAUAAUCAAUACAGGGUGCGUUUAAGUCGCCAAUAUACUAAAAUUCUUGUUCGGGAUGGACCAAGUCAAAAUCCCCGAGUCAUAAACAACCCCGCACAUGCCAUGGGAUGCGAGUCACGCCCUAAUAUAGCGUCACAAUGUGAUAAACCGGGGUCUCAAACCCUCAGGCCAUCAUCUAUACAAGCUACUCACUUCUAACCGGCCGUAGACUGGUCCGCAAUGCCUUUUUCUAUUGUAUCAACCUCCUCGCGCAUUGAAUCUAGUCAAAAUCAUAACGAGUACAUUAUAGGCUAAAGGAACAUUAUCCAAUCAAAAAUACCCGAAAAGUACUAAAAUUUAUGAAGUUGGUAAAACCCGAGCCCCGGGCCCACUUCUUGAAAAAUUUCAAAAAUCACGUCAACAGAUUCCUCGUCUCGCCACGUCCGUACAUAUAAGGUUCACAAAAGACGGAGUUCAAAUGGCCUUUCAAAUCCCCAAAAUUUGUCUUCAAAAACCAAGCCCAUGUUCUUCACAAUUUCAACCCACUUUCAUGAAUUUGAGUGUUAAUUCUUCACUAAAAUGGAGUUUCAAAGUCAAGAUACUUACCUCCAAUCAAUACCCGUUAAAAACCCUCUUCAAAUCGCUCAAAAAUCUCUCUUGGUGGAGUAAAAAUGGUGAAAAAGUGUUGGUUCACGACUGAAAUAUCCUUAAAACCAUUCUGCCCCGCUGAACCUCCCUUCAUCGCGAACGCGAUGGACCCUCACGUCCACGAUGGCCAAGAAUUAAACUGGGACAUUUUGCUUUUGGCGAACGCAGGCCCCUAUCGCGAACACAAUGCACACAGGCCGGAUGUCCCCUAAUCCCUUCUACGUGAACACGUUGCCUCCACGCGAACGCGACGGCCAAGGGCCUCAGGCCUACGUGAACGCGUCCUCCCUUCGCGAAUGCGAAGCCUAAAAUCCUGGCCCUCCUAUUUCCUUCUACGCAUUCGCGACAUACCCCUGCGAACGCGAAGCACAAAAUUCUGCAACACCAACAGCAGAAACCAGCAAUCCUCUAAGUCCAAAAAUAGCCCGAUUUACCAUCCGAAAUCACCCCGAGUCCCUAGGGACCUCAACCAAAAGCACAUAUAUGCUCUAAUACCUCAUUCAAACUUGCUCGAGCCAUAAAAUCACUAUCGUAAACACCAAAAUCAUUGAAUUAUCACGGAUUCAAGCCUAAGUUAAACUAAAACUUUCGAAACUUGUAUUUGAUAAAAAACCCGACCUAGACACCUCCGAAUCAACUGAAAUUUUGCGGACAAGUCCAAAAUGAUAUAACGAAGCUACAGCGGAUUCAAGCCUAUGUUAAACUAAAACUUCCAAAACUUGCAUUUGAUCAAAAACUCGACCAAACGAUGUCCGAAUAAUCUAAACAUUUUUACGCAUAUCCAAAAUCACCUAACGGAGCUACUGCACCUGUCAUAAUUCCAUUCCGACCCUCGGAUCAAAAUCUAAGCUAUCAACCGGAAUUCGCCAAAAUUCAAACUUAGCCAAUUCAAGCCUAAUUCUACACCGGACCUCCAAAUUCAAUUCCGAUUACGCUCCUAAGUCAUAAAUCAUCCCCCAAAUUAGUCGAAUCAUCGGAAAUUCAUUCUGAGCCCUCUAACUUAUAAGUCAACAUUCGGUUGACUUUUCCAAACUAACCUUCUCAUAAACAGACUAAUUGUCUCGUUUCUAACCAAACUCUAUCCGAGUUACUUCAAAUUCUCCAAACACAUAUAAUGAAACAUAUAGAAACAUAAAACGGGAAAAAUGGGGCGGUAACUUACGUGAUGACGGGUCGAGUUGUUACACUUGUUAACGUUUUUUGAUUAGUAGCAUACUAGAAAAUAUAAUAGUUUUAUAAGAUAUCAAUAUAUUUUUAACAAUUAUUUUUUAUGCCUAGCAAAUAAUGAGAAAUACUUAUAUAUUGGUUGGAGAAAGUAAUUUACAGUAGCUAUAGCAGAUAUGACUUGCACUCAUAAAGUAAAAACUUUCAUUUGGUGUAAACUAUUUACUAAUUAUUUAAUAAUUUAAGUCAAACAUUAGAAAGGAAUUAACAAAGUAAUUAUACACCAUGCAAACCAAGGCCAUACUAUACAAUCAAAUUUAUCAUGAAAAUCAUAUUGUGUCGCUUUGAAAUUAUUUUCUUUCUAUAAUUACAUGGAUAAAUUACAGUUCUAAACUUAAAAGAAAAGAACGAAAGAAGAAAAAGGAGCUAAAUGGUGCGGGCCAGGGUAUGGUAGGUUGAAAAAAAGAAAAACGGUUUAAACAGGGGCUGACAAGGCGGGUUGAAUUUAUAGUAGAGCAAUGAUUCACCCGCUCUGGUUUGUACUAUCCAGGAGCGGACUCAAGAUUUGAGAAUGAUGGGGGCAGUGAAUUACUCAAAACUUUAUUAGCUAAUAAAAGAAUACAUAUAAACUCUAGGAUAGACAAGUAAAUAAACAACAUAAUUCACUAUAUAUUAUAAACUUGUUAAGCAAAAAACUACAAUAAAGUAAGAAGAGCUUACGCUUUGAUUUCAUCAUACUCCCCAGUUGACCCGCGAACACAAACUUCAACUUCAUCAUAUUCCCAAACUCACCUACGAACACAAAUUUUAAAAUGUGUAUUCCAAAAAAAAAAUCUUGCACAUCAUUGCGCACGCAUGAACUAAACUGGAAUAAACUUUAAAAUAUAAAACAAGCUUAAUGACCUUAAUAGCAAUUUAUGACAUACACUAAUCUACAGUUGUCCCAAAAAGAGAAUUAAAGAAUUCACAACUUAAAUCAAAAAUACAAACUUCAAUAUUAUAUAAUAUCUUUAAUUGAUACUAAUAUAAUAAAAGUACAUCAUCCAUUUAUACUUAAACUCGACGUGUUCUCAUAUUCUAAAAACAAUCAAUAAUAGCAUCAUUGCUUACAUUUGCAAAUAUUUCUUUUUCAAAGUAACAAACUAAACAAUCAUUUAAAAAUGCAUCACCAAUGCUACUACGCAAUUCAUCCUUGAUGUACUUCAUGGAUGAGAAUACUCUUUCUACCGUUGCAGUCGCGACAGGUAAAAUUAAAGUCAACUUCACAAGUAAAUAAACAAUUGAAUAUAUCUCCACAAGAUUUGCUUCAACUAACGUUUUUGUUAAACCACCAAUUCUAUUCAAAUUCGAGAAUCUAGAGUUACCAUGUUUCAUGUGCAAUAUGAAAGUGUCAAGUUGGUGACUAAGAUCUCGAAGCUUCAAUUCACCAAUCUUAUCUUGAUAAUACUUGGCCAAUGUCAUUAUUUUUUUCUUAUUAAAAUUAGCAAACGAAUUAGCCAGAUUCAAGCUAGCCAUACCAGGAAGCAAGUUAGCAUUAAUAACAUCAAAACGACUGUUAAGCUCAUGAAAUACAAAUCAAUCACUAUAUAAAAAUGCUUAACAUGUAAAUGAUGUGAAUAAGUAACACUAGAAGGCCUACGCUUCGACUUUCCAGGAAUAUAAAACUCCUCUAUAUUGGGCACCAAAAUAUCAUGUUUAGCACUAAACAAAGAGACUUCAUCCAUUAAUGAUUUUCGUCCUUCAUCUCUUAUUUGUUGCAACAUUUCCUUUGCUGCUGACUCUUUGGUGAAGUCAUUUUUUAACAUUACAAUCAAAAUCAUAUAAUAUAAUAAAAAUAUUUCAUUUUGCGUAUAUAUUUACCUACAGAUAACUGAAUAGAUGCUAAUUAACCUAAUAUUAUUCGAAAAGCAGAAUGAUGAUAUAAAAUUAGGGGAAAUACGGAAAAAAUUAUAGAAUAAAGGAAAACUAUUUAUCAAACAACAAUCAUUUGAAGAGGAGCAAGCUUAAAAGAUAUGUUGCUCAGGCAGAACAAAGGAGAAGAAACCGCAGCCAAGUUAAUUUAAAUAAUUUAAUUAUAUUUUAAUACUUGAUAUAAUUAAUCUCUCAUUUCCAAAGGUUAAUAAAAACGAAGAUUUUUUGUAUUAAAACACAAUCAAACUCAAGUCCCUCUAAAAAAUUAUUCAACUAAAAAGAAAAUCAACAUCAAAUUUCAAAGUAAGAGAAAUUUUAAGUUAUAAAUAAAAAAUAAGUUUAAAAGUAAGAGAAGCACUAACAAACGAUUGAGGAUGAAGGGUUAAACCGAAGAAGUGAAGAAGAAGAAUCGGAGAAAGCGAACUGCUGAAGUGAAGAAAAAGAACUGGUGGCCGUUUGGGGCUUUUGAUGUUUGGGAAUUGGGGCUUUUGAUGUUUGAGCCUCUUGACUAUUAUUUAACUAUUAAAAAUUUUAAAUAUAAUCGACUUGAGAAUAGGUGAAAUAAAAAAUUAUCAAUUAGUCA
This 13537-nucleotide long non-coding RNA is filed under the name Nicotiana benthamiana. RNAcentral describes it as "long non-coding RNA (NBEN_LNC004445)". The record is from RNAcentral. Lineage: Eukaryota; Viridiplantae; Streptophyta; Magnoliopsida; Solanales; Solanaceae.